Non-coding RNA from Notechis scutatus (mainland tiger snake), 164 nucleotides. Lineage: Eukaryota; Metazoa; Chordata; Lepidosauria; Squamata; Elapidae. The record is from RefSeq and is a predicted model, not a curated record.
UUGAAUCUGUGGAGCCUCGUAUGCACUUGCCAAAGCCUGGAGAUUGCUGUUCUCUGUCUUGUGGGGCUUGCCAGUUGCCUGCUUUGCUGAACUUCUUGCUCUGGUUACUGUUUAGCUAACCUGGCUUAUUGGACUGCUGGCCCUGGUUGCUGUUUUGGUUAACC